AACUGAUUUGAAAGAAAGAGGGGGGUUUGCCCUGCCGGACUUGAGAUUAUAUUAUGAAGCUGCGGCCUUCUGCUGGAUGAAAGAUUGGUUACUUCUUGAGAACACUGAUGUUCUAGAUCUGGAAGGGUUUGAUAAUGCUUUUGGUUGGCAUGCAUAUUUGUGGUACGACAAGGUAAAGGUUCAUAAAAUGUUCAAAAAUCAUAUUGUUAGAAAAUCAAUAUUUAUGGUCUGGACAAAAUACAAGGACUUAUUAGAGGGUAAGACUCCGAGGUGGCUUUCACCAGCAGAGGCCAAGGCCCGGAAAAACCUAAUAUGGAGGUUGGUUGGCUGAAAUAUGGGGAAAUUAUAGAAAAAGUAGGAGAAACUUGGAGGCUGCAGAGUUAUGAAAAAUUAAAGAAUAAGGUGCAAAAUUGGCUUCACUAUGCUCAAAUUCAAGAGGUUUUUAAGUUGGACAAAAGAACAGGUUUCCAGGUGGAAAAAUCGAAACUAGAGACAGAAUUGUUGGAACCAAAGACCAAGGUACUUUCGAGAAUGUAUAUCUUGCUGCUUAAAUGGAACACUCAGGAUGAGACAGUCAAAUCAGCCAUGAUAAAAUGGGCUCAGGACAUUGGGUACAACAUUAUGUUUGAAGACUGGGAAAGGUUAUGGACCACUGGUAUGAAAUUCACGGCAUGUAAUGCCUUGAAAGAGAAUAUUAUGAAAAUGAUAUACAGGUGGUACAUGACCCCAGUCAAGCUUGCUAAGAUAUAUCAUUUGUCUGAUAAUAAAUGUUGGAAAUGUAAGGAGGCUGAAGGGACAUUCUUUCACCUCUGGUGGACUUGCCCAAAAGUGAAGGCCUUCUGGGAAAUGAUCUAUAAUGAGUUAAAAAAGUGUUUAAGUACACUUUUCCCAAGAAACCAGAGGCCUUCCUACUGGGCAUUGUCGGUCAGAAGGUGUUAAAGAAGGAUAGAACCUUUUUAUGUAUGCAACUACAGCAGCAAGAAUUCUUAUCGCAAAAUACUGGAAGACUCAAGAUUUACCCACACUGGAAGAGUGGCAGACGCAAUUGAUGGGCUACAUGGAAUUGGCCGAGAUGACUGCCAGGAUCCGAGAUUUGGAGGAAGAAGCAAUGGAGGAGGAUUGGAAAAAAUUUAAAGAUUAUUUACAAAAAUUUUAUAAGUUAUAUGAAUGUUAAGAAUUCGCAUGAUUAGGGAAAUUCAGCUCCAGCAAUAAGAUUAAGGUAUGGGAAACUAAGCUAUAUUAAUGAAAGGACUAACGUUUAAAAGAACAUUAUAUAUAUUAUUAGUGUAAAUUGACAAUAAGCAUUUUAAACGUAAAUCACAAGUAUUUGAAAGAACAAAAGAAUGCACGAAAUAAGGUUAUAAUUUGCUGAAAAAUUUUAUUGUAAAGAACGCAAGGUGAGGGGGACGGGGGGAAGUCCGGUUGGUUAUGGAAAAAUGCUUUGAAAAGAUGAUUUUCUUCUUUUUCUUUCUCUUUUCUGUUAUUUCUUUGUAUAUCUGACCUUGUAUUUCUAUCUGGAAAAAUGC
Molecule: long non-coding RNA, 1526 nt
Filed under: Podarcis lilfordi (Lilford's wall lizard)
Lineage: Eukaryota; Metazoa; Chordata; Lepidosauria; Squamata; Lacertidae
Source: RNAcentral